GAUGAACGCUGGCGGCGUGCCUAAUACAUGCAAGUCGAGCGAACAGACGAGGAGCUUGCUCCUCUGACGUUAGCGGCGGACGGGUGAGUAACACGUGGAUAACCUACCUAUAAGACUGGGAUAACUUCGGGAAACCGGAGCUAAUACCGGAUAAUAUAUUGAACCGCAUGGUUCAAUAGUGAAAGGCGGUUUUGCUGUCACUUAUAGAUGGAUCCGCGCCGCAUUAGCUAGUUGGUAAGGUAACGGCUUACCAAGGCAACGAUGCGUAGCCGACCUGAGAGGGUGAUCGGCCACACUGGAACUGAGACACGGUCCAGACUCCUACGGGAGGCAGCAGUAGGGAAUCUUCCGCAAUGGGCGCAAGCUUGACGGAGCAACGCCGCGUGAGUGAUGAAGGUCUUCGGAUCGUAAAACUCUGUUAUUAGGGAAGAACAAAUGUGUAAGUAACUAUGCACGUCUUGACGGUACCUAAUCAGAAAGCCACGGCUAACUACGUG
RNAcentral lists this ribosomal RNA (497 nucleotides) under uncultured bacterium. RNAcentral's name for it is "partial 16S ribosomal RNA". It matches the Rfam family "Bacterial small subunit ribosomal RNA", at positions 28 to 507 of the family's 1533-position model. The record is from RNAcentral.